GCCUGCCCUGCACAUCACAUUGCAUGUGAUGUGGAGUGGUUAGUAAUAAGUUGUCAGUUUAUAGGGACGAAAAUCGCGAAGCGAUUUUCGUCAGACACGCUUCGCGUGUCACCAAAAACUGACAACUAAAAACUAUAAACUUCGCAUCAUGCGUAGCGUGAUGUGCAGGGCCGCAGCGAAAGAUUUCCUGGCGACUGUUUAACAAAAACACAGCUCUCUGCGAACACGUAAGUGGAUGUAUAGAGGGUGACGCCUGACCUAUGCUGGAAGGUUAAGUACGGGGGGUGAUAUGGAGUAAUCUGUAUUGCUAGACUGUAUAAGCCCCAGUAAAUGUCAGCGAUAACUAUAAUCGUUCUAAGGUAGAGCGCAUUUCCGCAAGGAAGUACGCUCUACGGAUUAGAACGAUUGUAGGUUAAGCAGCCCUAGCCAUAGUUACCUUACCUAUCGAAAGAUAGAGUAAUCCAAAUCUAGCCAACAAGAGACCAAAUGCUAGACAUCCGCAACGGGUCAUGCCGUGGAUGAAGAUAGAGUCCUAUUGUGUACGUACAAGUCAAGGCUUGUACAUAAAAGAAGGAAAAAUAGAGCGUAUUUCCUUGUCGGGUAAGUUCCGACCUGCACGAAUGGCGUAACGACUGGGAAACUGUCUCGAGGACCUGCUCGGUGAAAAUACAAUACCGGUAAAGAUGCCGGUUACCUGCAGAUAGACGAAAAGACCCCAGGUGCUUUACUGUAGCUUCGUAUUGGGGCUAUUGAAUUCAUGCGUAGCAUAGGUGGGAGACUUUGAAGCGGGCUUUCGGGUACCGUGGAGUCGUCAGUGAAAUACCACUCUUGAUUUUGGUAGUUUCUAACCAGAUAGGCAAAACCUAUCUGAGACAGUGCGUGGCAGGCAGUUUUAGUGGGGCGCUACCCUCCCAAAAAGUAACGGAGGGGUCUCAAGGUUGGUUAGGCGCGAAUGGAAACCGUGCCGAUAGUGUAAUGGCAUAAACCAGCUUGACUGUAAGGCGUAGAUGCCGAACAGACGCGAAAGCGGAGCAUAGUGAACCGAUGGAUCGCGUUAGAUGCGUCCGGAGAUUACCCGAUAAAAGUAACCCUGGGGAUAACAGGCUAGUCGUGCCCAAGCGUCCAUAGCGACGGCACGGUUCGGCACCUCGAUGUCGGCUCGACUUAUCCUGGGGCUGGAGCAGGUCCCAAGGGUUUGGCUGUUCGCCAAUUAAAAAGUCACGUGAGCUGGGUUUAGACCGUUCAGAUUCUGAAUUUUUCGGAAUCUGAACCAAUCUAAACCCGAGGCGAGUAGUGGAGACUACUCACAAAGACAUCAUCACGGCGGCAGAAGCUAGUAAUAGUUUCUUGAAAAGUUGACUAUAUCGGUAGAGUCCUUAUACCAAAGUAUGUUAGGAUAAUACCGAGGGAAGUCUAUGUCGCUCAAUUCUCAAAUCUUCUUAGCUUACAUCGCUGGUUUCCUAGAUGGAGACGGUAGUAUCUAUGUGAGAGCAAAACCUAAUACCUCGUAUCGCUACGGGUAUCAGAUUGCUCCCUAUGUAGUAUUUUUCCAGUCUACUUCAGAAGCUAAA
Molecule: ribosomal RNA, 1571 nt
Filed under: bioreactor sludge metagenome
Description: bacterial LSU rRNA
Rfam family: Bacterial large subunit ribosomal RNA (bases 1-1284)
Source: RNAcentral